This is a non-coding RNA of Callithrix jacchus (white-tufted-ear marmoset), 994 nucleotides long. The record is from RefSeq and is a predicted model, not a curated record. NCBI's taxonomy places the organism in Eukaryota, Metazoa, Chordata, Mammalia, Primates, Cebidae.
GUCAUUUGCCCAUGACUCCAGCAGAGAUAUAAGUGGUCAGAACAUGAUCUCAUGUAAACUUUAGAAAGCAAUCUUGCUCUUUCCCAUCUUGCAAGAUGGCGGGUGAAAAAGUUGAGAAGCCGGAUACUAAAGAGAAGAAACCUGAAGCCAAGAAGGCUGAUGCUGGUAGCAAAGUGAAAAAGGGUAGCCUCAAGGCUAAAAAGCCCAAGAAGGGGAAGCCCCAUUGCAGCUGCAAUCCUGUUCUUGUCAGAGGAAUUGGCAGGUAUUCCCGAUCUGCCAUGUAUUCCAGAAAAGCCUUGUACAAGAGGAAGUACUCAGCAGCUAAAUCCAAGUUUGAAAAGAAAAAGAAGGAGAAGGUUCUUGCAACUGUUACAAAACCAGUUGGUGGUGACAAAAACGGUGGCACCCGGGUGGUUAAACUUCGCAAAAUGCCUAGGUAUUAUCCUACUGAAGCUGUGCCUUGAAAGCUGUUGAGCCACAGCAAAAAACCCUUUAGUCACCAUGUGAGAAAACUGUGAGCCAGCAUCACCCCCGGGACCAUUCUGAUCAUCCUCACUGGACACCACAGGGGCAAGAGGAUGGUUUUCCUGAAGCAUCUGGCUAGUGGCUUGUUACUUGUGACUGGAACUCUGAUCCUCAAUCGAGUUCCUCUGCAAAGAAUGCACCAGAAAUUUGUCAUUGCCACCGCACCAAAACUGAUAUCAGCAAUGUAAAAAUCCCAAAACAUCUUACUGAUGCUUACUUCAAGAAGAAGCAGCCGCGGAAGCCCAGACACCAGGAAGGUGAGAUCUUCAACACAGAAAAAGAGAAAUACGAGUUUACAGAGCAGCGCAAGAUUGAUCAGAAAGCUGUGGACUCACAAAUUUUACCAAAAAUCAAAGCUAUUCCUCAGCUCCAGGGCUACCUGCGAUCUGUGUUUGCCCCGACAAAUGGAAUUUAUCCUCACAAAUUGGUGUUUUAAAUGUCCUAAUAAUCUAAUUAAAUAACUGAUUAC